GAUGAACGCUAGCGGGAGGCUUAACACAUGCAAGUCGAGGGGCAGCAUAGGGUAGCAAUACUCUGAUGGCGACCGGCAAACGGGUGAGUAACGCGUAUGCAACCUACCCUGUACAGGGGGAUAACCCGGAGAAAUUCGGACUAAUAUCCCGUAAUAAUAUCCGGAGGCAUCUUUGGAUAUUUAAAGUUCCGACGGUACGGGAUGGGCAUGCGUAACAUUAACUGGUUGGUAAGGUAACGGCUUACCAAGGCUAUGAUGUUUAGGGGUCCUGAGAGGGUGGUCCCCCACACUGGUACUGAGACACGGACCAGACUCCUACGGGAGGCAGCAGUGAGGAAUAUUGGUCAAUGGGCGCAAGCCUGACGGAGCAACGCCGCGUGAGUGAAGAAGGCCCUUGGGUUGUAAACUACUGUCAUCAGGGAAGAAGGAAAGUAGACGGUACCUGAGGAGGAAGCCCGGCCGUAACUACGUG
This 472-nucleotide ribosomal RNA is filed under the name uncultured bacterium. RNAcentral describes it as "bacterial SSU rRNA". It matches the Rfam family "Bacterial small subunit ribosomal RNA", at positions 28 to 507 of the family's 1533-position model. The record is from RNAcentral.